Long non-coding RNA from Engraulis encrasicolus (European anchovy), 623 nucleotides. RefSeq lists it as uncharacterized. The transcript has 6 exons. The record is from RefSeq and is a predicted model, not a curated record. Lineage: Eukaryota; Metazoa; Chordata; Actinopteri; Clupeiformes; Engraulidae.
AGACUGGAAGUGACUGAAAGACAACACAGAUGCAUUCUUUCAGCAAGGUGACCAAAAUCUGUUUCACUCUGCAGCACUUGUCCUGGAGGUUUUGUAGACAGAACUGGAAGUGACUGAAAGAAAACGGAGACUCAUUCUUUCAGCAAGGUGACCAAAAUCUGUUUCGCUCUGCAGCACUUGUCCCGGAGGCUUUGUAGACAGAGUGACUGAACGAAAACCUAAAUGAGAAAUAGGAACAACAUGUUUAGAAGAUGAAGUGUGGAAGCCUCGGCAGCUUCAGUAUGCUGUGUACCUCAUCUUGAACUCUUUCACAUGGUGAUUCCUACACAUAAUUGCACACUGUAUGUGUUUAGCUAUCCUAUCUUACAAAGACUUAUGCCAACACUGUAUCUGCCUUUCCUCAAUACAAUGUAAAAAGUGCUGCAUAGACCAUUUAGAGAAGCAAUGUCUCGUGACUUUUACUGUAUGUUUAUUUUUGAGCAAGUGUCAUUUGUUUUGUAAAAUAUCUUUGCAGAUUUUCUUUUCAUGCCUGGACACUUUUUUUUUAUUUCAAAUAUUGCUUUGAAUUGAUGCAAAUUGAAGAACGUGAAUCCCUGGUAAUAAAGGAAGGUUGACCAGAAAAU